This 465-nucleotide ribosomal RNA is filed under the name Vreelandella stevensii. Its description in RNAcentral is "partial 16S ribosomal RNA". It matches the Rfam family "Bacterial small subunit ribosomal RNA", at positions 338 to 795 of the family's 1533-position model. Lineage: Bacteria; Pseudomonadati; Pseudomonadota; Gammaproteobacteria; Oceanospirillales; Halomonadaceae. The record is from RNAcentral.
CCUACGGGUGGCUGCAGUGGGGAAUAUUGGACAAUGGGGGCAACCCUGAUCCAGCCAUGCCGCGUGUGUGAAGAAGGCCCUCGGGUUGUAAAGCACUUUCAGUGAGGAAGAACGCCUGGUGGUUAAUACCCAUCAGGAAAGACAUCACUCACAGAAGAAGCACCGGCUAACUCCGUGCCAGCAGCCGCGGUAAUACGGAGGGUGCGAGCGUUAAUCGGAAUUACUGGGCGUAAAGCGCGCGUAGGUGGCUUGAUAAGCCGGUUGUGAAAGCCCCGGGCUCAACCUGGGAACGGCAUCCGGAACUGUCAAGCUAGAGUGCAGGAGAGGAAGGUAGAAUUCCCGGUGUAGCGGUGAAAUGCGUAGAGAUCGGGAGGAAUACCAGUGGCGAAGGCGGCCUUCUGGACUGACACUGACACUGAGGUGCGAAAGCGUGGGUAGCAAACAGGAUUAGAUACCUCAGUAGUC